This is a long non-coding RNA of Pan troglodytes (chimpanzee), 1185 nucleotides long. RefSeq lists it as uncharacterized. NCBI's taxonomy places the organism in Eukaryota, Metazoa, Chordata, Mammalia, Primates, Hominidae. The record is from RefSeq and is a predicted model, not a curated record. The transcript has 3 exons.
CGUCAAGCUCAACACCCUAUUAUUUUCCAGGCUUUCUUGUAACUACCACUUUGAAAUACAUAUUGUUUUAGUAAGCUCAACAUUUCUUUCCCUUUCUUCUGGUAAUAACUCUUCUCCCCUUUUUAAAAAAAUUGGCCCUUCCCCAUCCCAUGUGGCUCGGGGAGGACUGCCAAUCACAAUUCCUUGCACUGAUCGGACAACAAUGAUACCCAUUCUGGGCUACAGUCAUAUGUCUAAAAUGGUCACAUGACCCAGGCAAGGCUAGAGUGUCCUUCCCUGUAACUUUACAAUCUGUUGCUAGGAAAGCUCCCUGUUUCCUCUGAGGUCUUGAGCUGAGAGGCUGGAAACCAGAAGCCACCCAUGACCAUGGCAUCAACAUACUGCCCAUACCCAUAGGUUCCAAAAAAUCGGCCAGCAGAAGGAAAGAAUGAGGCCAACGACCGGAGAGAAACACAGCCAAGAGAUGGAGAAAGGGAGAGUCUAAGAUACUACUGACAGUCAUCUGAGUCCCUGUAGGCUCUGAUGUCAGCACCAAUCUAGAACUUUCCAGUGGCAUAAGCCACUAAAUUCCUUUGUUUCCUUAGGCCAAUUUGAGUUGGGUUCUGUUACCCUGAACUGAAAGUCUCUAAACACCAAAAAACUGUGGUGGUGAUGCCAAUAAGCUAACUGCUCACACCAACUCUUUAUGGCUUCCCAGAGGAGCGAGCAACCUAAUGCUGUAGACCGGCUGGCCUUCUGCUGGACCAGUGAUGAAGACAGCAAAGAAGAUACUCUGGCCCUUUAGCCUGAAGAAGAAAAACCAAAACCAGAUUCCAUAUUCUCCCAAUCCAGGAUCUUGUCCUAUAGUAGUAUGUUGCCACCACCUGAACAUCAGUCUAGCAGACCUUUUACCUUAUUAUGCAGAAAGCACACUUGGCAUGAAAAGAAAGGGUAUCCUUGGCUAGAUUUGCUUCUGUCAUGGCUGAAAAGGUGAAGUGACCCGCUCUGAAAACAUGAAGCCCUUGGACUCUCAGGUCACUGCAUAGGGUGUUCUAAUUAGAAAAACAAGUGAAGCAUUUUACCCACCAACACAGUGGUGACAUUUGGUGAACUUCUAAAAAUCUUUAAUUAUUACUUAUACUUUACAUAUUUACCAAAAUGUUAUGUAUCUCCUUGAUAUUUAAUAAAAUCACUUUUAAAAUCCUA